This 516-nucleotide ribosomal RNA is filed under the name Nakaseomyces glabratus. RNAcentral describes it as "eukaryotic LSU rRNA". It matches the Rfam family "Eukaryotic large subunit ribosomal RNA", at positions 96 to 512 of the family's 3401-position model. Lineage: Eukaryota; Fungi; Ascomycota; Saccharomycetes; Saccharomycetales; Saccharomycetaceae. The record is from RNAcentral.
AGAGCGGCAAAGCUCAAAUUUGAAUCUGGUACCUUUGGUGCCCGAGUUGUAAUUUGUGAGAGUACCACUUUGGGACUGUACUUUGCCUAUGUUCCUUGGAACAGGACGUCAUGGAGGGUGAGAAUCCCGUGUGGCGAGGGUGUCAGUUCUUUGUAAAGGGUGCUCGAAGAGUCGAGUUGUUUGGGAAUGCAGCUCUAAGUGGGUGGUAAAUUCCAUCUAAAGCUAAAUACAGGCGAGAGACGAUAGCCAACAAGUACAGUGAUGGAAAGAUGAAAAGACUUUGGAAAAAGAUUGAAAAGUACGUGAAAUUGUGGAAGGGAAGGCCUUUGAUCCGACUUGGGUUUUGCGCCCCUGCCCCCCGGGGGCUGGGAACCUCGCACUCCUGGGCCGCCUCGGUUUUGGGGCCGGAAAAACCAGGAAGGGGCCUGCCCCCGGGAAAGGGUUACCCGGGGAAACGCACCGGACCGAGACGGGAAACUGGUCUCAAAGGGCGAAAUGGGUAUUGCCCCCGUCUGA